GAUGAAGAACGUAGCGAAAUGCGAUAAGUAGUGUGAAUUGCAGAAUUCCGUGAAUCAUCGAAUCUUUGAACGCACAUUGCGCCUUCUGGUAUUCCGGAAGGCAUGCCUGUUCGAGAGUCAUUAACAACCGUUUCGAUCCCUUUCUUUCAGAAAUUACAAAGAGGAAAAGGGUUUGGUUAUGGUGGAGGAGGGAAAGGGAGCGUUUAGCCUGUAAAAAAAGAGGCUGUGUUCCGCCUCCCCCCCAAAAUUGUACAGGCGGUCGUGUGCGCCCACGCAUCGAGGUGUUGUAGAAGCUGCCACGGCACUUUUCACCUGUGCAGUGCGAGAUUGGCCAGCCGGUUUAAAAACCCCUCCAAACAAUCAAAGGUUGACCUCGGAUCAGGUAGGGAUACCCGCUGAACUUAAGCAUAUCAAUAAGCGGAGGA
RNAcentral lists this unclassified non-coding RNA (425 nucleotides) under soil metagenome. RNAcentral's name for it is "partial contains 5.8S ribosomal RNA, internal transcribed spacer 2, and large subunit ribosomal RNA". The stretch from base 1 to 120 matches the Rfam family "5.8S ribosomal RNA", at positions 35 to 154 of the family's 154-position model. The record is from RNAcentral.